RNAcentral lists this ribosomal RNA (440 nucleotides) under uncultured bacterium. Its description in RNAcentral is "partial 16S ribosomal RNA". It matches the Rfam family "Bacterial small subunit ribosomal RNA", at positions 338 to 795 of the family's 1533-position model. The record is from RNAcentral.
CCUACGGGAGGCAGCAGUGGGGAAUAUUGCACAAUGGGGGAAACCCUGAUGCAGCGAUGCCGCGUGGAGGAAGAAGGUUUUCGGAUUGUAAACUCCUUUUAUCAGGGACGAUAAUGACGGUACCUGAAGAAAAAGCUCCGGCUAACUACGUGCCAGCAGCCGCGGUAAUACGUAGGGAGCGAGCGUUGUCCGGAAUUACUGGGUGUAAAGGGUGCGUAGGUGGUUUAGUAAGUUGGCGGUGUAAUUCCGGGGCUCAACCUCGGCGCUACCGCCAAAACUAUUAGACGAGAGUGCAGGAGGGGUAAGUGGAAGUCCUAGUGUAGCGGUGGAAUGCGUAGAUAUUAGGAGGAACAUCAGGGGCGAAGGCGACUUACUGGACUGUAACUGACACUGAGGCACGAAAGCGUGGGGAGCAAACAGGAGUAGAUACCCCUGUAGUC